Molecule: long non-coding RNA, 1805 nt
Filed under: Macaca mulatta (Rhesus monkey)
Lineage: Eukaryota; Metazoa; Chordata; Mammalia; Primates; Cercopithecidae
Description: lncRNA (ENSMMUG00000055364.1)
Source: RNAcentral
CCAAAAGACUUAGCCAAUGAGUACCUUUGUAGGCUGAGAGGGCGGGAUAAAUGCCCAAUGAGCGACUCGGAAGAGGAGCCAAUAAGCGGAGAGGUUGCUGGGGCAGCCGGCGUGGGCGGUGUCACUGAACUGGGCCACCUGAGCCAGGUGGAGUGUUACUCUUCUCUUCUGCCUUCUGCCUGUGACUAGCGCCGUCCCCCGCCGCCCGUCGACCCCGAUUCCAGGUCCCUGGCGGACACAUCGCCCUGGGACCUCCACGCCCAUGGCCACUAGGCAGAGGGAGUGUUCCUUCACCUCCUGCUCUUACACCUCGAGCUGCAACGCGGACGACGAGGGCAUGCGCAGCACCUGCGAAGAUGCUUCCCUGUGCAAGAAGUGACUGCCAGGCGCGGAGUUCGGGGCCGGCAUCGGGAGCACGGGCCUAGGUUUGCAGUAAGCAUUGGCUACUGGCAUGACCCUUACAUCCAGCACUUUGUGAGACUGUCUAAAGAGAGGAAGGCCCCCAAAAUCAAGAGGCAAGUUACCGUCUCCCUCCCCAGCAGCAUCUUAUCAGCCAAGAGACCUGAGGUUUCAGGGGUUCAUUCAUGUUUUUUUUUUUUCUCACUUUGUUACCCAGGCUGGAGUGCAAUGGAGCCAUCUCAGCUCACUGCAACCUCCGCCUCCCGGGUUCAAGCGAUUCUCCUGCCUCAGCCUCCUAAUUAGCUGGGAUUACAGGCACGCACCACCACACCCAGCUAAUUUAAAAAAAAAAAUUUUUUUUAUUUUAGUAGAGAUAGGGUUUCACCAUGUGGCCAGGGUGGUCUCGAACUCCUGACCUCAAGUGAUCUGCCCGCCUCAGCCUCCCAAAGUGCUGGGAUGACAGGCGUGAGCCACCGCGCCCAGCCUGUAGUCCCCACUGUUGGAGGUGGGGCCUGGUAGAAGGUGGUUGGAUCAUGCGGGUGGAUUUCCCAUGAAUGGUUUAGGACUAUCCUCUUGGUGCUGUUCUGAUAGUGAGUUCUCAGGAGAUCUGGUUGUUUAAAAGUGUGCAGCACUGUACGCCUUGCUUUCUCUGGCUCCUGCUCCCACCGUGUGAGAUGCCUUGUUCACCCUUUGCCGUCCCCCAUGAUUAGAAGCCUCCUGAGGCCUCACCAGAUGCAGAAGCUGCUAUAAUUCCUGUACAGCUGCAGAACUGUGAGCCAGUUAAACAUUUCUUCUUGGCUGGGCGUGGUGGCUCAUGCCUGUAAUUCCAGCACUUUGGGAGGCCGAGGCAGGUGGGGGGAACACCUAAGGUCAGGAGUUCAAGACCAGCCUGGCCAACAUGGUGAAACCCUGUCUCUACUAAAACUACAAAAAAUUAGCCAAGUGUGGUGGCAGGCACCUGUAAUCCCAGCUACUUGGGAGGCUGAGGCAGGAGAAUUGCUUGAACCUGGGAAGCAGAGGUUGCAGUGAGCUGAGAUUGCACCAUUGCACUCCAGCCUGGGCAACAAGAGCAAAACUCUGUCUCAAAAACAACAACAACAAUAAAAAACACACACGUACACACAUUUCUUCUUUAUAAAUUACCGAGUCUCAGGUAUUUCUUUUUAGCAGUGCAAGAAUUGACUAAUGCAAAGCCAGAUAUCAGGCUAGAGGGAUCAGAUUAUGAAAGGUACAGUCUGUAUGUCAGGCAAUGAAGUGCAGAUUUUUUUUUUUUUUUUUUUUUUUUUUUUUUUUUUUUUUUUGAGCGGAGUCUCGCUCUGCGCCAGGCUGGAGUGCAGUGCCAGAUCUCAGCUACUGCAAGCUCGCUCCAGGUCACGCAUUCUGCUCACUCCCAUAGCUGGAUACAG